RNAcentral lists this ribosomal RNA (830 nucleotides) under uncultured bacterium. Its description in RNAcentral is "partial 16S ribosomal RNA". The stretch from base 3 to 365 matches the Rfam family "Bacterial small subunit ribosomal RNA", at positions 40 to 399 of the family's 1533-position model. The record is from RNAcentral.
GCCGGCAGAGCACACAGUGCAAGUCGAACGGUAACAGGAAGCAGCUUGCGUGCUUCGCUGACGAGUGGCGGACGGGUGAGUAAUGUCUGGGAAACUGCCUGAUGGAGGGGGAUAACUACUGGAAACGGUAGCUAAUACCGCAUAACGUCGCAAGACCAAAGAGGGGGACCUUCGGGCCUCUUGCCAUCGGAUGUGCCCAGAUGGGAUUAGCUAGUAGGUGGGGUAACGGCUCACCUAGGCGACGAUCCCUAGCUGGUCUGAUAGGAUGACCAGCCACACUGGAACUGAAACACGGUCCAGACUCCUACGGUAGGCACCGAUGGGGAAUAUUGCACAAUGGGCGCACCCCUGAUGCAGCCAUGCCGCGUGAAUGAAAAACGCCUUCGCGUUGCACCGGACUUUCUACCCCCAUCAACGAGACUCAGGCUUGCCAGUAUCACAUGCAGUUCCCAGGUUGAGCCCGGGGAUUUCACAUCUGACUUAACAAACCGCCUGCGUGCGCUUUACGCCCAGUAAUUCCGAUUAACGCUUGCACCCUCCGUAUUACCGCGGCUGCUGGCACGGAGUUAGCCGGUGCUUCUUCUGCGGGUAACGUCAAUGAGCAAAGGUAUUAACUUUACUCCCUUACGUCCCCGCUGAAAGUACGUUACAACCCGAAAGGGCUUCUUCAUACACGCGGCAUGGCUGGCAUCAAGGCUUUGCCCCCAUUGGUGCAAUAUUCCCCACUGGCUGGCUCCCGUAGGAGUCUGGACCGGGGCUCAAUUCCAGGUGGGCUGGGCAUCCUCUCAAACCAACCUAGGAUCUUGUCGCCAUAGUGAGACGCCGUUACU